RNAcentral lists this transfer RNA (86 nucleotides) under Actinocatenispora comari. Its description in RNAcentral is "tRNA-Pro". The record is from RNAcentral. Lineage: Bacteria; Bacillati; Actinomycetota; Actinomycetes; Micromonosporales; Micromonosporaceae.
CGCCCUCUGGUGGCGGGUCGCCAUCGGCGUUCGGGUCGCCGUCGGGUGGCGGGUCGCCAUCGGCGUUCGGGUCGCCGUCGGGUGGC